This 469-nucleotide long non-coding RNA is filed under the name Equus caballus (horse). RNAcentral's name for it is "lncRNA (ENSECAG00000049024.1)". Lineage: Eukaryota; Metazoa; Chordata; Mammalia; Perissodactyla; Equidae. The record is from RNAcentral.
AGACCUAGAAAGAUAGCACUAGGUUAGAAUUCUGGCUCAGCCGUUUACUGGCUGUGAAAAAUAGGCUAAACCACUUUCCCUUCUGAAUUUACUUUUCCACAUGUGAAAGUCCUUUGUAUUUGCUCUUCAAGAUUCCUGCAAAGCAAUCAUCUCAAGUAUGUUAGUGAACGAUUUCUACUCAGCAGUGUGGUCUCUGCUCCACCCAACCAGGAAUAAGAAGGCCUCCAGGAAGAAAGAACACCUGUAGGAUAUUUGUCAUCGCUGACAGAAGACAAGAACAAUGAGAGAUCCUGGAGUCCAUCAUGUACAUUUCUAAACUACCUCCUUACUGCCCAUUUUCCCUAUAGAACUGCCUCAAGAUUCUGUAAUUCUUGAAGAUGGGUUUUUUAAGACAUUAGUCACCCAUCUUCCAAUUUGCUGGCUAAUCUAAUUUAAUUAAAACUUUCUUUCUCAAUUCCUAACUCUGUGU